Molecule: long non-coding RNA, 434 nt
Organism: Papaver somniferum (opium poppy)
Lineage: Eukaryota; Viridiplantae; Streptophyta; Magnoliopsida; Ranunculales; Papaveraceae
Exons: 3
Source: RefSeq, a predicted model, not a curated record
AACAAGACACCAUUCAAAAAGCAUCUUGGUACCACUGGUCUUUGCUAGUCCUAUUUGGCUUAUUCGCUCUCAUGAUACCGGUACUCUUGUUGAUUGAUACGGUGUUUUCAGAGAAAAAGUCAAGUAACAUGCUCUUGGAGGCAGUUGGCUUUCUCUUCGCAUACAAAGUUUUGCGGAGACGAUGAUAUACAGGAUUUUCGGAGUUUUCCAGUGAUGUAUUGCUUUCUUCGCAAUGAUGUUUACAGAUGACCGUCUUCCUUCAAGAAUUACUUCAUUUCCCAUCUUCCACAUAUUCCACAGUAUACAAAAACUCCACGUCGUGAUUGUCGUUUUUAUACAGCCAUGACUAAACUGUCUGCUUAACUUUGCCGGUUCCUGUUUGUCAUUAGAUUCGGUAUAAAUUCCACGCAAGGACAUCUCUGUUCAAGUUCUCU